AUGAUUUUCAAGGGUUUCUAAUUUUUUAUAUAUUAAAAUCAUAAUGCUAUAUAUGACCUUGAAUCAAGGUCUUCUGCACAUUAAAAGAAACUUAGGAAAUUCUACACUCUCUAUAUUUAUUUUGGAUUUUUAUUUCUGUGUAGAAAACUAGUUUUGGAUAUUAUAAAAUACAAAAGUAAAUAAGUAUCAAUGAUUUUGAACCAUCAAUUUAGCACCUUAAUUAGGAAGUGUAUGCAGUGAUGCAGCUCCUUUUAAAACUGCAAAGGAUCAUGAUACAUAGUACCUUAGUACUAUUACACACACAAACCAUUUUUAUUUUCUCAUUAUCAUCUCUAACAAAGACAUGUACACAAGUAAAAAUGUUAUUGACUCUCUGCAUACAUGAUACUUGAUGGCAACUUUUUUCGAAUUUCUUAAACUAUUUGGUGUCCACCACGCCCAGCUUCUUUGAGGAAGGAUGCACUCUGGGUGAUCUCACGCAAUGGCUUGUUAGUGUACCUAACAGUGUUGUAGACCCAUGCUCCGGCGAUGGCCCCCAAAAUCGGCGACAGCAAAUAUAUCCAUAUUCCUCUAUACUCAUUGUGUACAAAAGCUGGUCCUAGAGUUCUAACAGGGUUCAUCGAUGCUCCUGUUACCGGCCUGUCAAAUAAAAAAGUGACACGCCUCACUUUACAAAUUCGGUAUCUAACUAUUAGUUUUGCAUUUUUUUUUUAUGGAACAUAUUAGUAAUUUUACAUUUAACAUACCCGGCAAUCAUCACGUUAAGCAAUAAUGUAGACCCAAUUGCAAUUCCAGCCAACUCACCAAUCUACAAAACAUAGAAUAUGAAAAUAAAAUAAUGAAUAAAAAGCAUUAAAGAACGUUUAUAUGUAUAUGAGAUCGAUGUGUUUGAUGAGUUUACCGCUCUAGUAUCGGUGGCAACUCCAGAAAUGGUAAACAUAAGGUAAAAUGUGGUUAUGAAUUCAAGAACAAAAGCUUGAAGGUUAGACCCAGAAGGAAGUGUUCCUGAAAAGUGGUCAUGUGCGCCACUGAAUAUUAGUUUUAGAGUUCCACUAGCAAGUGUUGCUCCCAAGAGCUGAGCUGAUAUAUAAGCUGGUACCUAUAAGAAUUAUACAAAGGAUGAUUCAUAAAUGCAUAACAUGGUGGUAAAAAUAAUUUUUGGACAAAUUAAGUAACAUGAUUUCAUGGAGAAACAUUUUAGCUACUUAUUCAAGGAGUAUUUUUAUUUGGGAGCUUUUACGGUACCUAAUAAAUUGAAGAAUUUUGGUAUAAUUUUCUCAAUCAAUAAAUAAUAGUGUUUUUUAAUCAAAGAACUAUUUGUAAAUCCAUGUGCUUUAAAAAACAUCACUUCAUAAAAAUAACCAUAAUUAAGUUUUUUUUUUUUUUUUUACAGGAUAACAGACUUAAGUUUUUACAAAUUGAGUUAAAAAAAGGGGGUAGUUUUCCAAAUUAAAUUUCAAGAGAAGUGGGCUUUAAAGAGUCUUAAUUUCUUGUGGGCCUGCAGAUAAUUAUACCGAAAAAGUAGCUAAUCAAGAAGCCAAGAUUAAAAAUAAAAAAAAUAAAAAAAUUAUCUUGUAUUAUAUAAAGUAAAUAGAGUAUAUAUGUUAUCAACUUUGUAUUGUAUGUCAAAAUAUUAUUAUAUACAAAAAUAAACUUUAUGGAGAAAAAAGAUUGUGUGUAGUGUUGACCUGUAACAAUGGAAACCUCCUUGUGGUAGCAAAAGCAAUAGUAACAGCAGGAUUGAAAUGAGCACCAGAGAUAUGACCAAGAGAGUAAAUCAAUACCAACAAAGUUAGUCCCCAAACAAUUGCAAUCCCUGGAAGUGUUACUACGUUGUCGUUGUCCUUGUUCACUACUAUUGAUGCACAUCCUGCAAAUAUUAAGAAAUAUGUGCCCACCAUUUCUGCUAUUAACUGUAUUCACCAACAAACAAAACCUAAUUAAUUCAAUAUAUACUAUAUGAUCAAAAUCUUAUAUUAGUUCAGAAACGUAACAAACUAUAUAUGUAACUAUAUGUGUACGUAUGAUGAGUUUGUAAAGGAAAGAUUAGGAGACACCUUUUGCAAGAAAGGGACAGAGACAAAGGAGCCAGAGCCUUUACAUGUAUCUGAGGAAUCCUUGUUUGUAUCUAAAACAACCUCAUGGGUUUCAAUUCUUGCUGAAUUAUCAUUAGCCAUAAGUGAUAGAGAACAAGGAAACUAUUUAGAAAUUUAGAAACAAACAACACAAUACGC
Molecule: long non-coding RNA, 2234 nt
Filed under: Medicago truncatula (barrel medic)
Lineage: Eukaryota; Viridiplantae; Streptophyta; Magnoliopsida; Fabales; Fabaceae
Description: lncRNA gene49187
Source: RNAcentral